This is a long non-coding RNA of Theobroma umbraticum, 481 nucleotides long. RefSeq lists it as uncharacterized. The record is from RefSeq and is a predicted model, not a curated record. Lineage: Eukaryota; Viridiplantae; Streptophyta; Magnoliopsida; Malvales; Malvaceae.
UCCGCCCACACUAAGGAAUGGCAAAAUGAUUUUUCCUUGAGAAAACCCACACCCUUGGAAAGAAAAAGAGAAAGGAUUAGCUUAGAAGCAAAGUGAGAAAGGAAGAAAAGAGAAAAAAAGAAAGAAAGAAAGGAGAAAGAAGAAAAAUAGAGAAGGUUUGACCUAGUGGUUCCAAGUUAAGGAAGCAAAGGUCUUCCAAGAAUUAAAAGAAAUAGAUGCAUGCAUGUAGGUGGAUAUUGUAAUGGAUGGUGAUUUUGAGGCAGAUAAACAAUAUGAAAGUAUUUUGGUCUUGAAACCACAAGUAAACAAGAGAAAUGAGAUGUGUGCUAACUGUUCAUGUUUGUCCCAACAACGAUGACCAUGGAUGUGAGGAAAUUGUGAGCUAUAUGUGUGGAACUCAAGGUAAAACCAAAAGGAAGUUGUGCAAGUGAAGAAAGUUUGUCGUAAUGGCGUGCCAAACGAGGUAACGAGUGACCGACAA